Molecule: long non-coding RNA, 3314 nt
Filed under: Phoenix dactylifera (date palm)
Lineage: Eukaryota; Viridiplantae; Streptophyta; Magnoliopsida; Arecales; Arecaceae
Description: long non-coding RNA (PDAC_LNC008196)
Source: RNAcentral
UUUGCUUACUAUACCUGCUGAUGUAGCAUUAUAGACUGUAUUGUUACUCUUGCUCCCAUCAGGAUAAAUCUGACCCCUUCCUCUGUUCCCACCUACAUAUAUGGGAUAUUUUAAGAAGUGAACGUCUUUCCUCGUAGCAGGGUCGGGGGAAAGAAUGGGAAAGGCGAUUUCACUAUAUUUCUGACCGGGAACAGGACCUAUCACAAGAAUAUUUCUUUUAUUGGGACGAUAACUCUGAAAAGACAGAUUUCCCAUCUUUUCUCUCACCUCGGGAGAAAUACGAUCGGGGGGGGCUAAUUCGAAUCCCUCGGGUAAAAUAAGAACAGCCCCUACAUUCAAAGCCCCCUUUUUACCAUUAGCAAGAACUUGUUUCAGUUGCAUAUCAUAAGGGAUUCGAACAACUGCUUCAAAUACAGUAUCAGGAAGCACGGCUUGCGGAACUUCAAUAUCCACGGGCUUAUUAGCUAAAUGGCAAUUGGCACAUACAAUUCGUCCAGUUGCUUCUCGUGGGUUUUCAUAACCCUGCUGCGACAAAAAUGGGAUAUGCAUUUGAAAUAGAUGCUCGGGUUAUUAUAUGUAUCAUGAUCGAUAUAGAAAUUGAUCAAGUCAUCUGUUCCUUUACCCAAGAAAAAGUAUUUCUAUUUUGCAUAUCCAAUCAUUGAUCCUAGAGUUUCUAAAAAAUAAUAAUAUGUAUAUAUUUAUUUAUUUAUAUGUGUGUAUAUAUGUGUGUGUGUGUGUAUAAAAGGGUGGUUGGGGGGGGGGUGGUUUGCUCCUAAUUAGGGUUGUUAACGAGCCGAGCCGAGCCCGAGCCUGGGAGAGCUCGGCUCGGCUCGUUUCACAUAAGCUCGGGCUCGGUAACGAGCUCUAUAUUGGGCUCGAGCUCGGGCUUGCUUGGCAAAGCAAAAGCUCGGGCUUGAGCUCGUAAAGCUCGUUUCAAUUACGAGCUCCAGAACGAGCCCGAGCUCGGGCUCGUAAUCGGGCUCGAGCUCGGGCUCGAUAACAGGCUAUUUUUCUCUAUGUGGUCAGAUUUUUAUGAAUUAUGGUGCUAAAAUAAGAUCUUUCAGUGGGAGACUAGAGCUUGUUUGGGCUAGUGAGCUGCUCGGGCUCGAGCUCAGGCUCGGAUGUAAACAAGCCUCAUAUUGGGCUCGGGCUCGGGCUCAUUUGACUAACGAGCCGAGCCUGAGCCGGAUUUUUACCGAGCCGAGCCUGAGCCGGAUUUUUACCGAGCCGAGCCCGAGGCCGAGCAGCUCGGCUCAUUAACAGCCCUACUUCUAAUCACCGAGGUUUUAUGUCACAUAUAAUCAGAUUUCUAGUCCAAUAUAUCCUUUCUAAUCUAUUUAAAAUAGGGAUACUCCUAACAAGUUUGGCAUUGUGUAUUUAAAGCUACAGAGUCUUCAAUCUGCAACAUUUGUUUUUUGAGAGUGCAUAAGACCAUCAUAGCGUGGUCUGAGAUAGCUGCAGGCAUUAAUUUAAUUUUGGUUUCGUGUCAAGGCACAUUAUAUGUGAGGAUAGAUGGUGCUCGUGAGACGUGAAAGGUGACCAAUUUUGUAGCUAUUAACUGGGGUUCUAUCUUGAUGCUUGGAAAUCAAGGAUGAUGAUAUUUGGUUUGAUCUUGAAAUGCUUUAUGAGGAAAUUGGUAACAUAGAGGCUAUACAAAAUAUAAGGCUGUAUGUGUUUUUGUAAGGUGGUUUUGCCUACUUUUCACUUUCAUCUUAAAUAUGUUUUCCUGCUAUAAUCUCUGGAGAUGACUUAGCUUUUCCAAUGAUGCCUGUAUUUCAAAUAACAAGUUGGACCAAAGACAAGUUCAUAUCACCACUCGGGAGGAGCAUUGUGUCACUGGGAUGUUUCAAGAGAUCAGGAAAAAAAAGUGAAAAGAAUGAUCCGAAGCUCACUCCUUGGACUGGUAGUGAUGCAUUUAGACCAAGAAGAGCUUAUUGAACUAUCAGUGAUAUAUGCGGCACAUUUUCUUGAUGAGUGACCCUAGGGAUGUUGUUUGGCCACCCAUGUCUACUACUGUAGUAUUAUUUUUCUUUCUUUUGUUGGCUGCCACAAUAAGUUUUAUUUUGUUCAAAAAAGAGAGCUAUUAAGUGAAUUGGUCUAAAGUGUUUUCACCCCUUUUUUCUCUCUUCUAGAACUUAAAUGAGUUAUUGGGUUUCCUAACCAUUAGUAGCAGUCCUUGUUUCUAGUUUCGAGACUUGCUAUCUUGCUUUCUAUUCAUUAAGGCUAUGUUUGGCAUCACUGUCACUUUUCUUUUUUAAAAAAAAAUUGAAAACCGAAAGUCUAUUUCGAUUUUUUUCAUAUUUUUGACAAUAGAAAAUAUGUUUGGUUCACUCCUUUUUUAUAAAAAAAACAAGAGGAGCCACUUGACCAUGUUGAGGUUGAGAAGCAGCAUCAGGAGGAGGAGGCGGGCAGCUUGAGCAUUGCUGAUGGCCUCGUGAUUGGUGCACUCGCCAAGGGUCUCGAGGAUGAAGCUGGUUUGGGCGACAUUGGAGAUGGUGGUGGCCAUGGCAGAGUCCAACCAUGGCCACCUGGAUGGCUGCAAGGCCACUAGGCAAUGUCGUCAUCGCCAAUAGGGAGCUCAUUGAGGGCGUAGGGGGGGGGGAUUGCAGAGCGGGGGAGAAGGCAAGGAGAGGUGGGUUUGGUGGAAGAGGCCAGCGGUAGACUUGAUCUAGAUGUCGGCUAGGUGGGAGAGGCAGACAUGCUCAAUGGCGAUGACGUGCUCGAUGGCGGUGACAUGCUCGAUGGCGGUGACAUGCUCGAUGGCGUGCUCGAGGCAAACAGGGGGAGGUAGGGCAGAGAUAAUGCAGAGAGGUUAGGCGGAGGGGAUGAGAGAGGGGUGAAAGCCCACUUUUUAUUAUAAAAAAAAGUGAAAAGUUUCACAUCUACUUUUUAUAGAAAUAAUAAAAUUUGUUUAAAGAAAAACAAAACAAGGUAACCAAAAAUGAUUUUUUGCAUUGGAUUCCGUGUUUCUGUUUAAAAAUAGAAAAAAAAAGAGGGGAAAAAAUAGUACCAAACAGGGCCUUUGACUCAGUAGGGUCUUUCAAGAGAUCGGGAAAAAAAAGAAAGUGAAAAGAAUGAUCUAAGGUUCAUUUGUGCUGGUGGUGAUGCAUUUAGAUUGAGAAGAGUUUAAUCAAUUGGAUAGAACUAUUUAGAAAUACAUGCAGCACAUUUUCCUGAGCGACUCUAAGGAUGCUUGGUGUGGCCACCUAUAUCUACUACUAUAGUAGUUUUUUUCUUCCUUUGUUGGCUCCCACAAUGUUUUUUUUUUGUGUAUUUUGGAGUGCAGAUUAAAAGGAAAAAAGAGAGCUAAUAAG